CUGCUUUUACCACCAUUAUCUCUGUACGUUUUCUCCAUCUCUUCUCUUGGAGCAUACAAAGGUCUAAAUGUGUCUGUUGGAUGAGCUUUUUUUUUUUGACAUUCUUAGAUCAAUUAGUAAAUAAAGUUCUUGCCUGGAUGGGAUUUACUAGCAAUUUUAUCUGAAAAAAAUUGUAAAUCUGCAUGUGGUUAACUGUGCACCACCAUCCUUUAAUAGGUGAAUUCUCCAGUGUUGAUGGAAUGUGAGGGAGAAGAUGAAAAGCAACUCUCGAGUGUAUGACUAUAUGAAAUUUUUAUGCCCUCUAUUUAUGCCCUCUAU
Molecule: long non-coding RNA, 318 nt
Organism: Arabidopsis thaliana (thale cress)
Lineage: Eukaryota; Viridiplantae; Streptophyta; Magnoliopsida; Brassicales; Brassicaceae
Product: other RNA
Exons: 1
Source: RefSeq